AUACGUAGGUGACAAGCGUUAUCCGGAUUUACUGGGCGUAAAGGGCGUGUAGGCGGUCUUGCAAGUCAGAAGUGAAAUUCCUGAGCUCAACUCGGGCGCUGCUUCUGAAACUGCAGGACUUGAGUGCUGGAGGGGAUAGCGGAAUUCCUAGUGGAGCGGUAAAAUGCGCAGAUAUUAGGAAGAACACCGGUGGCGAAGGCGGCUAUCUGGACAGUAACUGACGCUGAGGCGCGAAAGCGUGGGGAGCAAACAGGAUUAGAUACCCUGGUAGUCCACACUGUAAACGAUGAAUGCUAGGUGUAGGGGGUAUCGACCCCUUCUGUGCCGCAGUCAACACAAUAAGCAUUCCGCCUGGGGAGUACGGCCGCAAGGUUGAAACUUAAAGGAAUUGACGGGG
Molecule: ribosomal RNA, 397 nt
Filed under: uncultured bacterium
Lineage: Bacteria
Description: partial 16S ribosomal RNA
Rfam family: Bacterial small subunit ribosomal RNA
Source: RNAcentral